GGUGAACACGCGCGCGUACACAAGUGUGACGACAGUAGCGUAACCGCGAGGCGGCCUCGUUCUGCUGCGUACGUGGAUUGCUGCGUUUUAACCGAUUUGACAAAUACGCGUCUGGCGAUCAGAUACGAUGGCAAACGAUCGCUCCAAUGUCUUCUAUCCGAACUUUCAACGAUCCAACAUUCACUCGACGAUUGAUAGAUACUGCUAAGCGAGAUUCGCCCUAAGAGACAGAGCUGUGACACGCCAACAGCUUGGUCGAAAGUCGGACGCCGAGUGGACAGAGGUUCCAGCAGCGAGCAGCACGGAGGGUUGAAACAAAUCCAGCUGGUGUUACCCCGUAACCGCAGAGUGGCGCCCGCUAACGGAGACGCCUGGAAACAUCAGGCGUCCCGGCGUCCAUGGUUCCCCGGAUUGCCACCAGAUCGAGAUACGACUUCGCUUCUAAUCGUGACACGGGGUAUAUAUCGCGCGCCGAUAAAACAGGAUCGUCGAUCCAGCUCGCCGUCAACACUUGCUCCCGGCAUCGAGAGCGAUAGAAAGACGGUGGAAACACGGGCAAAACGAGUAAAGUGUCAUCGAUAUCGUUCCGUCUGCGACAAGAAGAGUAUCGGGACCACCGUGAAUGACACGAAUCUACGCGGCGACAAGUGCAUACAAUGGUAUCCUGACCGGAUAUACGGCGAGGAACGAGGAGCAUAGAGAGAGAGA
RNAcentral lists this unclassified non-coding RNA (708 nucleotides) under Bombus terrestris (buff-tailed bumblebee). RNAcentral describes it as "misc RNA ENSBTSG00005032281.1". Lineage: Eukaryota; Metazoa; Arthropoda; Insecta; Hymenoptera; Apidae. The record is from RNAcentral.